This is a non-coding RNA of Populus trichocarpa (black cottonwood), 122 nucleotides long. Lineage: Eukaryota; Viridiplantae; Streptophyta; Magnoliopsida; Malpighiales; Salicaceae. The record is from Rfam.
AUCCCAGAUAAUAUUGGAUUUUGUGAUUAUCUGAUUCAUGGGAGGCUAAUAAUGAAAUGGGAGUUCGCUGAUAGCACUUUUGGUCUUUGCAAUGUGUUUCACUAGUACCUCACCAUGCAUUU